RNAcentral lists this ribosomal RNA (1446 nucleotides) under uncultured bacterium. Its description in RNAcentral is "bacterial SSU rRNA". It matches the Rfam family "Bacterial small subunit ribosomal RNA". The record is from RNAcentral.
AGAGUUUGAUCCUGGCUCAGGAUGAACGCUGGCGGCGUGCUUAACACAUGCAAGUCGAACGAACCUUCGGGUUAGUGGCGGACGGGUGAGUAACGCGUGAGAAUCUGCCCUCAGGAGGGGGAUAACGGCUGGAAACGGCCGCUAAUACCCCAUAUGCCGCGAGGUGAAAUGAAUUUCGCCUGAGGAUGAGCUCGCGUCUGAUUAGCUAGUUGGUGGGGUAAUGGCCUACCAAGGCAUCGAUCAGUAGCUGGUCUGAGAGGAUGAUCAGCCACACUGGGACUGAGACACGGCCCAGACUCCUACGGGAGGCAGCAGUGGGGAAUUUUCCGCAAUGGGCGAAAGCCUGACGGAGCAACGCCGCGUGAGGGAUGAAGGCCUCUGGGCUGUAAACCUCUUUUAUCAAGGAAGAAGAUCUGACGGUACUUGAUGAAUAAGCCACGGCUAAUUCCGUGCCAGCAGCCGCGGUAAUACGGGAGUGGCAAGCGUUAUCCGGAAUUAUUGGGCGUAAAGCGUCCGCAGGCGGCCCUUCAAGUCUGCUGUUAAAAAGUGGAGCUUAACUCCAUCAUGGCAGUGGAAACUGUUGGGCUUGAGUGUGGUAGGGGCAGAGGGAAUUCCCGGUGUAGCGGUGAAAUGCGUAGAUAUCGGGAAGAACACCAGUGGCGAAGGCGCUCUGCUGGGCCAUCACUGACGCUCAUGGACGAAAGCCAGGGGAGCGAAAGGGAUUAGAUACCCCUGUAGUCCUGGCCGUAAACGAUGAACACUAGGUGUCGGGGGAAUCGACCCCCUCGGUGUCGUAGCCAACGCGUUAAGUGUUCCGCCUGGGGAGUACGCACGCAAGUGUGAAACUCAAAGGAAUUGACGGGGGCCCGCACAAGCGGUGGAGUAUGUGGUUUAAUUCGAUGCAACGCGAAGAACCUUACCAGGGUUUGACAUCCUGCGAAUCUCUUGGAAACGAGAGAGUGCCUUCGGGAGCGCAGUGACUGGUGGUGCAUGGCUGUCGUCAGCUCGUGUCGUGAGAUGUUGGGUUAAGUCCCGCAACGAGCGCAACCCACGUCUUUAGUUGCCAGCAUUCAGUUGGGCACUCUAGAGAGACCGCCGGUGAUAAACCGGAGGAAGGUGUGGAUGACGUCAAGUCAUCAUGCCCCUUACAUCCUGGGCUACACACGUACUACAAUGCUACGGACAAAGGGCAGCAAGUUCGCGAGGACAAGCAAAUCCCAUAAACCGUGGCUCAGUUCAGAUCGUAGGCUGCAACUCGCCUACGUGAAGGAGGAAUCGCUAGUAAUCGCAGGUCAGCAUACUGCGGUGAAUACGUUCCCGGGCCUUGUACACACCGCCCGUCACACCAUGGAAGUUGGCCACGCCCGAAGCCGUUACUCCAACCCUUGUGGAGGAGGACGUCGAAGGUGGGGCUGAUGACUGGGGUGAAGUCGUAACAAGGUAACC